GUACAUGCUUACAACAUAGCAUUAAUGCAUCGAAUCCCAUUAGAAAUCUACGGUUAAGUGCGCUCGGGAUAGAGUAGUAUUGGGAUGGGUGACCUUCAAGGAAGUCCUAGUAUUUUAUAUG
This is a non-coding RNA of Picea glauca (white spruce), 121 nucleotides long. The record is from Rfam. NCBI's taxonomy places the organism in Eukaryota, Viridiplantae, Streptophyta, Pinopsida, Pinales, Pinaceae.